UCAGGAUGAACGCUGGCGGCGUGCCUAAUACAUGCAAGUCGAGCGAACGGACGAGAAGCUUGCUUCUCUGAUGUUAGCGGCGGACGGGUGAGUAACACGUGGAUAACCUACCUAUAAGACUGGGAUAACUUCGGGAAACCGGAGCUAAUACCGGAUAAUAUUUUGAACCGCAUGGUUCAAAAGUGAAAGACGGUCUUGCUGUCACUUAUAGAUGGAUCCGCGCUGCAUUAGCUAGUUGGUAAGGUAACGGCUUACCAAGGCAACGAUGCAUAGCCGACCUGAGAGGGUGAUCGGCCACACUGGAACUGAGACACGGUCCAGACUCCUACGGGAGGCAGCAGUAGGGAAUCUUCCGCAAUGGGCGAAAGCCUGACGGAGCAACGCCGCGUGAGUGAUGAAGGUCUUCGGAUCGUAAAACUCUGUUAUUAGGGAAGAACAUAUGUGUAAGUAACUGUGCACAUCUUGACGGUACCUAAUCAGAAAGCCACGGCUAACUACGUGCCAGCAGCCGCGGUAAUACGUAGGUGGCAAGCGUUAUCCGGAAUUAUUGGGCGUAAAGCGCGCGUAGGCGGUUUUUUAAGUCUGAUGUGAAAGCCCACGGCUCAACCGUGGAGGGUCAUUGGAAACUGGAAAACUUGAGUGCAGAAGAGGAAAGUGGAAUUCCAUGUGUAGCGGUGAAAUGCGCAGAGAUAUGGAGGAACACCAGUGGCGAAGGCGACUUUCUGGUCUGUAACUGACGCUGAUGUGCGAAAGCGUGGGGAUCAAACAGGAUUAGAUACCCUGGUAGUCCACGCCGUAAACGAUGAGUGCUAAGUGUUAGGGGGUUUCCGCCCCUUAGUGCUGCAGCUAACGCAUUAAGCACUCCGCCUGGGGAGUACGACCGCAAGGUUGAAACUCAAAGGAAUUGACGGGGACCCGCACAAGCGGUGGAGCAUGUGGUUUAAUUCGAAGCAACGCGAAGAACCUUACCAAAUCUUGACAUCCUUUGACAACUCUAGAGAUAGAGCCUUCCCCUUCGGGGGACAAAGUGACAGGUGGUGCAUGGUUGUCGUCAGCUCGUGUCGUGAGAUGUUGGGUUAAGUCCCGCAACGAGCGCAACCCUUAAGCUUAGUUGCCAUCAUUAAGUUGGGCACUCUAAGUUGACUGCCGGUGACAAACCGGAGGAAGGUGGGGAUGACGUCAAAUCAUCAUGCCCCUUAUGAUUUGGGCUACACACGUGCUACAAUGGACAAUACAAAGGGCAGCGAAACCGCGAGGUCAAGCAAAUCCCAUAAAGUUGUUCUCAGUUCGGAUUGUAGUCUGCAACUCGACUACAUGAAGCUGGAAUCGCUAGUAAUCGUAGAUCAGCAUGCUACGGUGAAUACGUUCCCGGGUCUUGUACACACCGCCCGUCACACCACGAGAGUUUGUAACACCCGAAGCCGGUGGAGUAACCUUUUAGGAGCUAGCCGUCGAAGUGGACAAUGAUUGGGUGA
This 1475-nucleotide ribosomal RNA is filed under the name Staphylococcus sp. KW-07. Its description in RNAcentral is "partial 16S ribosomal RNA". It matches the Rfam family "Bacterial small subunit ribosomal RNA". Lineage: Bacteria; Bacillati; Bacillota; Bacilli; Caryophanales; Staphylococcaceae. The record is from RNAcentral.